This is a long non-coding RNA of Xiphophorus hellerii (green swordtail), 132 nucleotides long. RefSeq lists it as uncharacterized. The record is from RefSeq and is a predicted model, not a curated record. Lineage: Eukaryota; Metazoa; Chordata; Actinopteri; Cyprinodontiformes; Poeciliidae. The transcript is spliced from 4 exons.
GGGCUACAGCAUAGAGCAUUCUGGGUAAAUACAACCAAAACAAACGCAAGAGUCUAGCGCUAACAGGAGAAAUGACCCGCCUUUUUUCAAAGACAAAAACGAAAUUCUGCAAUGGCUAGAAUCUGUUUUAUG